RNAcentral lists this ribosomal RNA (467 nucleotides) under uncultured bacterium. RNAcentral's name for it is "partial 16S ribosomal RNA". It matches the Rfam family "Bacterial small subunit ribosomal RNA", at positions 28 to 507 of the family's 1533-position model. The record is from RNAcentral.
GAUGAACGCUGACAGAAUGCUUAACACAUGCAAGUCAACUUGAAUUUGGGUUUUUACCUUAGGUUUGGGUGGCGGACGGGUGAGUAACGCGUAAAGAACUUGCCUCACAGCUAGGGACAACAUUUGGAAACGAAUGCUAAUACCUAAUAUUAUGAUAAUAGGGCAUCCUAUAAUUAUGAAAGCUAUAAGCGCUGUGAGAGAGCUUUGCGUCCCAUUAGCUAGUUGGAGAGGUAACGGCUCACCAAGGCGAUGAUGGGUAGCCGGUCUGAGAGGGUGAUCGGCCACAAGGGGACUGAGACACGGCCCUUACUCCUACGGGAGGCAGGAGUGGGGAAUAUUGGACAAUGGACCGAGAGUCUGAUCCAGCAAUUCUGUGUGCACGAUGAAGUUUUUCGGAAUGUAAAGUGCUUUCAGUUGGGAAGAAACAAAUGACGGUACCAACAGAAGAAGUGACGGCUAAAUACGUG